Molecule: small RNA, 31 nt
Filed under: Bombyx mori (domestic silkworm)
Lineage: Eukaryota; Metazoa; Arthropoda; Insecta; Lepidoptera; Bombycidae
Description: ovarian small RNA-37778
Source: RNAcentral
UUGCAACGUUUCGGUCUUUUAAUAGACCUUA